CUUUUAACAACGGAUCUCUUGGCUCUCGCAUCGAUGAAGAACGCAGCGAAAUGCGAUAAGUAAUGUGAAUUGCAGAAUUCAGUGAAUCAUCGAAUCUUUGAACGCACCUUGCGCUCC
This 117-nucleotide ribosomal RNA is filed under the name Sistotrema brinkmannii. RNAcentral describes it as "5.8S ribosomal RNA". It matches the Rfam family "5.8S ribosomal RNA", at positions 3 to 119 of the family's 154-position model. Rfam says of the family: 5.8S ribosomal RNA (5.8S rRNA) is a component of the large subunit of the eukaryotic ribosome. It is transcribed by RNA polymerase I as part of the 45S precursor that also contains 18S and 28S rRNA. Functionally, it is thought that 5.8S rRNA may be involved in ribosome translocation. The record is from RNAcentral. Lineage: Eukaryota; Fungi; Basidiomycota; Agaricomycetes; Cantharellales; Hydnaceae.